AUGUCGCCGAGGGACGCCGGGAACCGGGGGCCGGUGUCCCCCGCUCCGGCCGCCGUGCCACCGAGCGCGGGGGCCGCGGCCGGGCCGUGCCCCGGCGGGUCCCGGGCGGCAGCGGCGGGGCCGAGGCGCAGCCGGACCGGCCGUACCCGUGCGGCACCUGCGGCAAAUCCUUCCGGCACCGCCGCAGCCUCCUGGCGCACAAGAAGCUGCGGCGGGGGAACCGGGCCCGGCACGGCUGCGCCGAGUGCGGCCGCAGCUUCUGCCUGCGCGGGGACCUGCUGCGGCACCGCGACGCGCACCGGGCGCGGCCCCCGGGCCGCCGGUACCGGGCGGGCGCGGCGGGGCCGGGCGAGGAGCGGCCCUUCGAGUGCGGCCGCUGCGGGAGCAGCUUCAGCUGGAGGGAGAGCCUGGAGCUGCACCUGCGGGGGCACCGCGCCGCCGAGCGCGCCCACGCGUGCCCCGAGUGCGGCCGCGUGUUCCCGCACCGCGGGCACCUCCUGCUGCACCGCCGGGCGCACUCGGGCCCGCGGCGCUUCCCCUGCGCCCGCUGCGGCCGCGCCUUCGCCUCCCCCGCCACGCUCAGAGCCCACCGCAGGACGCGGCGGCACUGCCGGGCCCGCGGCCAGGGCCCCCGGGGGGACAGGGACCCUCCCGGGGACAGGGACCCCCGCGGGGACAAGGACAGGGACCCCCGUGCGGACAGGGACAGGGACCCUCCCGGGGACAGGGACAGAGACCCCCCCGGGGACAGGGACCCCUGUGGGGACAGGGACAGGGACCCCUGUGGGGACGGGGACAGGGACAGGGACCCCCGCGGGGACAGCGACAGGGACAGGGACCCCCGCGGGGACAGGGACCCCAGCGAGGACAGGGACCACGGUGCGGACAGGGACCCCCGCGGGGACAGCGACAGGGACCCCAGCAGGGACAGGGACCCCCGUAGGGACAAGGACAGCGAUAAGGACCUUUGCAGAGACAGGGACCUGCUCAGGGACAGGGACCCCUGCGGUGACAGGGACUCACUCAGGGACAGGGACAUGGAUAGGGACCCCUGGGGGGACAGGGAUAGGGACAGGGAUAGGGAUACACAUAGGGGUAGGGAUGGGGACGGGGAGCCCUGCUGGGACAGGGACCCCCUGA
Molecule: long non-coding RNA, 1140 nt
Filed under: Taeniopygia guttata (zebra finch)
Lineage: Eukaryota; Metazoa; Chordata; Aves; Passeriformes; Estrildidae
Description: lncRNA (ENSTGUG00000025879.1)
Source: RNAcentral